ACCUACGGGAGGCAGCAGUAGGGAAUUUUCGUCAAUGGGCGCAAGCCUGAACGAGCAAUGCCGCGUGAACGAGGAAGGUCUUCGGAUCGUAAAGUUCUGUUGAAGGGGAAAAAGAGCGGAGAGAGGAAAUGGUCUCCGACUGAUAUUACCCUUCGAGGAAGUCACGGCUAACUACGUGCCAGCAGCCGCGGUAAUACGUAGGUGGCGAGCGUUAUCCGGAAUGAUUGGGCGUAAAGGGUGCGUAGGCGGCCUGCUAAGUCUGGAGUGAAAGGUACCGGCCCAACCGGUACAUGCUCUGGAAACUG
This 305-nucleotide ribosomal RNA is filed under the name uncultured bacterium. RNAcentral's name for it is "bacterial SSU rRNA". It matches the Rfam family "Bacterial small subunit ribosomal RNA", at positions 337 to 635 of the family's 1533-position model. The record is from RNAcentral.